UGGUAGAGGCGUGCUUUGCAUUGAGG
This 26-nucleotide non-coding RNA is filed under the name Mus musculus (house mouse). The record is from RNAcentral. Lineage: Eukaryota; Metazoa; Chordata; Mammalia; Rodentia; Muridae.